Non-coding RNA from Coturnix japonica (Japanese quail), 9219 nucleotides. NCBI's taxonomy places the organism in Eukaryota, Metazoa, Chordata, Aves, Galliformes, Phasianidae. The record is from RefSeq and is a predicted model, not a curated record.
UACAAGGUGCACUGUGCAGAGGGCAGCAUUUCUAUUGAUCUCCACAUUUUUAUUUAUUUUUUUUGGUGGGAGAACAACUGUUGGAAGUUUCUGGCAUCUUUGAGCUCGUUAAUCAUAGCUGUGAACUCAGCCCCACCCAGGCAUGAUGUAAGGCUGCCAGGUGUUUAUCGUUUAAUCCUGACCAGCUAUUGGGCUCUCCCACUGAGGUGCUCCUGUUGGCUCUGCUUUUCAGCUCUGUUACGUCACAGUGCUGGGAAGGGUUUUUGGUGUGUUCUGUUCCGCUGCGCGCCCAACUUUCCAGUGUGCUACUGAAAUACCUUCGGCAAUCCACUACCUUAGCAGCGAAUAAAGGUGAAAAGAUAACUGUAGAGGGGAGAAGAGGAAGAGAAGACAGGAAGAGGAACAGGAAGUUUGGACAACUGUUCACUCAAAUCCCUGGAGACCAGAAUGACAAUUCUGCACUUACCUUCUUUCGUUGAUUACUUUGUAUAUUUCUGCCGAAGGAAAAUUCUAUAACUUCAGAAAUGGCAGUCUUCCAGAAAUGGAAAUACAUUGAUCAACAGGAAACUUGAAGUUCAAAAUUGCAAAGGUAAGAUUUAAUGUCAAUGUAGAACUUGAACAAGAAGAUAAAAUACAUGGUAGGGUAUUUUAACAAUCAAGGCUAGAUGAUAGCAAGGAAAGAAACAGUGUGGAUGGCUAAAAGGGGAUGAGUUUGACGACAGCACAGGUGGUUUAAAAAAAAAUUUUGAUGAUUUUUUGUGCUUCACUGUUCAAUUUGGACGAUGACUCUGAACUUGAAUGGGGAAAAAUUGGCUUCACAGAAGAAUGGAAAUGACACAAAAAUCAAGGAGUUAUUUCUUGGUGUUUGUGUCAUGGUAGCUUGAAGGAACUGACGUGUGAAUCUUAAAGAGUAUUUUGGAAUAUGUUCAAGUAUCGGUGGUAUGAGAAAUUUCAGACAUGAUUCCUAUAUUUAAGACAGGAAAAACUGCAGUCUAGUUGGGUAUAGGUAUAUUAGCAUGACAUCAGUAAUAUGCAAGGCUUUUGGAAAGAAAAGUAAUAGGAAACACAGCAAAUGGCGGAAGUGGGAUAACACACAAUAUCGGUUUACCGAAAGCAGAUUUACUGGAUUAUCUUGAUAAUCUUUCUUUAGGUUAUCCUGAUCUUUUUAGACAAAUAACAUAGCAAUAGAUGUGAUGUAUAUCCACUGUGAGAGAAGCAUCUGACACAGAGCUACAUGGAGAACCAUUUGACUGGAAAAAAUGAAGAUUAUACCCAGAAUUGUAAAAUGGGUAGGAACUGGCUAAAGCAGAUAACAGAUGAUGCUGAAAGAAGAAAUACCAGGUUAGAGGGAGAUAAAAAUGGAGUUUCUGAAGUCACAUUCUGGGGACCUCUAUCCCUUAAUAUUUUCAUUAAUCAGCUAGGCACAAAAAAAUAAGAAGCUGCUUGAGAAAUGUGCUGAUGGCUUAAGCUGGGAGAGAAUUGUCAAUAGCAAGGAGGCUCAGACCAUACAAAUAACAUAUCCUCAAGGACUGGAGAAAUAUAAAUGGGAUUACAUUCAACAGGUCAAGUAGCAAGUGCAUGUAGCUGGGGACCAAUGACAGUUUCUAAUAUAAGGUAAGGCUUGUUGGACUGAUACAGGAGAAUUGGGCAUAUAUUUUGGCACUGUUUCAGAAGAAACAUUUCCAGUCAAAGUAGGACUGCAGAAGGCUUUGAUAACAACUUCCCUAGGAAUGUGGAGAACAACUUUGGCCACUAGUGUUUGAAAGGAAUUCAACCUAGGGCAGGAGCAAAGAAAAGGUGAAUCAUUUGAUGGGAGCCAUAAACAUGAUGAGGAGGAACAUUUUCAGCUUCAACAAUAUUGAUACAUAAACAACUAAGAGUAAAACCACUCAUCAGUAAUUUUACCUUGUAUUUUAGCAAAGAGUUUCUAAUGCAGAAUAUGGGUUUCUGGAAAAGCAUUUAACAGGAGCUGUGGGGAAAAUCACUCUUAGCUGUGAAAAUGGGUACAUCUGAGGGAUUCAGCAACGCAUCUUCAUGCUGUAACAGCAGACUGGGCUCUGUAGGUCAGUGGUCUCUGUUCAUUUAUUCUCAUUCUCAUUCAUUCUGUUUCCACGUUCCUACAAAAUUAUUUUAGCUUUUAACUCAAAGUCCUUUUAGAUGAAACCCGAGCACUGCUGAUCUAGAGCAGGAUGGUGACACUUCUAAAGGCUCAGUAAGUUUGGAGAUUGGGGGAGUUUUGCCUGUACCCAUCUCCUUGGUACUGAGAAGAGAGUAGCUAUCAUUUGUAGUCCAUAAAGAACUGAAAUGGGGCUGCUCGUAAAUAAGUGGUGUGUUUCCCCAAAAAUUCUGUUGACAGGUACAAUUUUAAUCCAGAAUACUUAGCUGAAAAUACUGGCUUCUCACUGACAAGCUGAACAAUUUCCCUUCCCCUGGCCAUUGCUUUUUUUCUAUGUUUCUGCUCAUAUCUCUUCCAUUUCCUUUAUUCAAUUUGUCUAGCAAGAAUGAAAUAAAAACAUGCUGACAUUUUCAAAGAAAUCAGAUACUUCCCACGAAAGUUUUGAUGGAAAAUUUUCAGAGAGCCCCGAGGCUCAGGAGCUGGUUACAGUGGGGUGUGGCCAGCUAAAUCUGCUGCCUGCAUCAGGGGGAGUAACGCCUCAGCCUCUCUCGGACCUUUCAGGUGAUUUACUUUUGGGAGGGGAACAUCUUUUACAAGGAGCCACGUGCUCUGGGUGGCAGCAACUUUGCUCUUGCAGCAGUUCUGGCUGACCUUGCUGCAAGUGGUGCAGAAGGCUGAGCCAUGCCUGCCUCCACCCUCCCCUCCCCUCCCCCUCACUGCAGAAGCACAGAACUGACCACAGCGUAGCACUAAACGUUUUAUUUUUAACUUUUGCCAGACAACACGUAUAUCCGAGGCCAAAAACAAACAAACAAAAAAAGAGCCAGAGAAUGGGGUAUAAGUGCUUGUCAAUGUCAGACUUGAUCACUGUCAAAUAGGGGCUGGAUUCUGCAGUUAUGCUGCAUACAACGCUCCUGUUUCCUUCAGUGGUGCUCCCAAACCACGGUGAUGAAUGCCUAGAGAGAUGGAUAAAGGCAGACAGACGUAGAUACAGACUGACAGAAUCAACCCCCAGAUGGAGGUUGCUUGAAUUUACCAGAAAUUAAGAUGCUGUACUGCUUAAGAAAGAGUUCCACGAUCUCAUUAAGUCUCUUCUAUGUCUCCCUUUUUAUUUUGUCCUCCACCUUCCUACAGAAAAAUACUUUGUGUCAUUUCAGAUUGAAUUAGAGGAAAAUUGCCUAUGGACUAAAUAAAAUGUUUGUAUACUUUCCUACUAGCACAGUCCUAUGCUGAAGGCUUGUGUUGGUUAAGGGAGAAGAAAAUACAGCAUGUCAUAGUAAUGUCAUGUAUUCUAACUUACUGUAGCAAAUCAGGACUUUUUCAUAUUUUCUUUUUAAAUAAAAAUGCCAUCUAUCAUUUUCAAAUGAAGUGUUAAUGGAAUCAGCCCAUACGCAAACUCAUGCAUAUAAAUCUAUAAAUAAAUAUAAUAUAUACAUAAAAAAAUCCUUACUGCAGAGAAUGAUCAAGCACCUUGUCAGCAAUCCAUAUUAUAUUUAUUAAUUUGAUUCCUGCUAAAAGAUCACUUAAGUGAGACCUGGUUUCUUUCUUUAACGCUUCAGGCUCCUUUCAUCUAAGCGGUGUUUAUUAACCUAUUUCUGGAAAUCAGCAUAAGCACAAGCUAUAUUUAAUCUGUUCUUUGCAUGUGCUUUGUUUUUCUUUUUGUUUCUGUGUUUUAUUUUUAAUUCCAGUUUAAGAAUUAGCUACCGAGCGCUGGUCAGUAUUAGAAAUAACAGUUCAAAUAGUGAGAACUGAAACACUGAGUACUAGUUUAUCAUGUAUAUUUAUGUCCUUUAGGAGGAUUCUGAUUGUAGUUAAAUUCCAGGACUAAUGAUAAUGACAGCAGGAGAAGUAUUCCCACUUCAAGAGUAAUACUGUGACCUGAUGACUGAGUGUUGGGGUACAGUUUCUCCCACUUUUACUGCUGUCCCAGUUGUUUUGAAUGGCAGAACUCUUGCCUGUAUGCCAUGGUUCCCCAUCUGAAAAGUGGACAUGAAAUACUGAGCUCUUCAGUUAACUUCAGAUCUGCAGAUUGUGUUCUAUGACUGGACUACUUUUGUGUCAAAGCUUAAAACCCCACUGACUGAGAUAUUCAGGAUUUCACUCACACGUUUCAUCAGCAGGCCAAGGGGAAGGAAGGCUGCAAUAAGGCAAACUGUUGGGUUCAGUUUGAGCUGUGUGCUGUACAUCCAGCUACAUCCUGCAGAUACCCUCCACAAUAUUACAGCUGAUAUUUUAUUAUUAUGAACUUUUGCAGCUCCGAGGAGUUUCCCCUAACAGAUGGUGGGAGGUUUUGUCUUUCUCCUAGAUCUGUGGGCAAGGACAAAACUCUUCUGGAGCUGAAUUCGCUGUUGAAUUUAACAACUCUCCAUUUGCCUUGAGUUGUGGCUACAGAUUUCUAUAGGAAUGAACCAUACUGUCUGGAGAUCCAAGGGAUUUGUACCAAGAAGGAUGACAUUUUAUGCCAAGCUGCUUCAAGAAGAAGACUGUGAGAAUGAGACAGAUAGUCCUUAUAAAAAUGAACGUGAUCUGACAGUAGAGGUGAAAUGAUACCAAAAGAAGCAGGUAAGAAAAAGGUAUUUUGCUGUUUUAGCCUGUUUAUUUACAGCACUAGGUAGCCUACAGCCAGGAGAUGACUUUGGGUCCUUUGGAGAAAGUUCCUAGGCAUUCCCUAUCAGGCACACAGGGAAAGCAAUGAGGUGACUUGUUGAAUAUUAAGAGAUUGAAUCGAUAUCAAAUUCUUUGACAGAACCCAAAGCAAAUACAAUUUGCUGGAGCCACUAAGUUCAAACAUGUUCCUGAAUAUCACUGUACCUCACAAGUGUCAUGGAGUUGUAUGCAUCGAUAAAUAGAAAGGGACUGAAUCCUGUAGGAGUUUGCACCCCUUGAAGAUUCAGAGGAGAGAUCAAAUCAAAUACGGAGGUGCUUUGCUUUGUGUGUGCCAAGGAUAAGGAAGCUAAACAAUAAUAUCCCAGCAGUUUUCAGGACGAUGCCCGUGAGCAUCACCUCGCAGCCUUGGUCCCUCGGCGCACACAGACCUUGCUGGCCCGAACUGUGCCAUUUGCUGAAGGCAAGAGCCUCACAGAGCUGCCAAGGGGACUCUGCAGGGUGGCUUUGCUGGGUACGUGUGCCCCAGGGCAGCGCUUCAGCAUGCUGAGCCUCUCAUCUGAGGGCUGAAAGGCAGCAGAGAACAUAAUCUGUUUUAAUGGAUCCUUCUGCUGCUGUUGAAUAGCUCCCUGGUUUGGAUUACUUCUGCUGCAGGCACGAUUAGUCAGCAUUUGACAGGGCAGGGGGUCUCAGCGGGGAGCCCACAGCUUGCUAAGAAUAGGAGCCAAACAUCAUUUUCUGGCUUAUUUGGGAGAAAAACCUGAAGAGUGCAGAAAGUUUGUCCCUCGUUGUUUUCCUGAGUAGGGGAGCAGUCUCAGAGGUGAUGAGACAAACACUUGAGGAUGGCUGAUAGCACUGGAGUGCAGAGUAAACAAGAAGAUGGUACUGGAUCUCAGGCCAUGGAAAAACAUCGGGAAUAAAAGCUUACUGAAAUCACGUGAAGUCAUAAAACAACUGAAAGGAUGCACAAACGGUUCUCACCCCUUUCCACCUGAAAGAACUGGGUAUGUUGAGAAAACACUUGCUCAGUGUUUGCCUUUGAAUAAUGAAAUAAAAUAUAAUGGUCAGUAAAGUUAAGCUCUUAAGAAUAAAUUGGUCCUGUUUUCACUGGAAGGCAGCCUGGAUUGCCCUGAAACAUUGAAGCCAUCUGCAGUUCCCACAUCGAUUUUCUUCUCCAUGGCACUGAACAUACAAACCCAGCAGGUGCCUUUGAGUGCUCUCUCAGCUGCAUGGAGAAAACAGAUAAAACCCUCUGGGUCUCCUGCAUGUUCAUGUGCAGCCUCACCUGUGUGACACCUGGCUGUGCCCAGCGCAGGAAUCAGCAGAAUGAGCUGGGAAGUCUGCUGAAUUGGCACAUUUGUGUGGAGGGGGAAAUGCUGCCAGGGAACUGUGACCUGCCUCUUCUCUGCAAUGCACCGGCGUGCAGCAUCCCAACAGGAGCAGCAUUGUUUUGUGCCAAGUGCCUCGGAGACAGAGGAGACUGUGCCCAGUUCGGUGGAAAUAAAAAGCAGCCUCCUAUUUUUGUUAUUUGCUGCUCUAGUGAAAACUGUGCUUCCCCUGAUCCAUCAGAAAAUACUGUUUUUACUUUUCAGGCAACCACAGUUUUGGCCUUUUCAAGUGAAAAUACCUGGUGAAGUGCCCCAGGAGGGAGGCAGCUUUCUGCACUGUGCCACUGCCCAGAUGAUGGUUGCACCAGGAGCAGCUCCCAUGCCUCCAGCUGCUGGAAAACUCCAUUCUCCAUCAAGCCAAUUGACUAAGCAGCACAUGGCAGUUCUUGCAUCCCUCCUUUCAUUAGGCACACAGAAAAGUGACAACAGCAUCAAAUAAGGUGAGGCCCCACCAUUAAUAACCAGCGAGUGUAUGUUUAGAUACCUACCAAAAAGAAGCAAAUAAAAACCUGUGAGCUAAAGAAGAGCAAAAAAGAGCAUUUGAUAUUUCUGGGCUCAUGUGAACUCUCAGGUCAGGGUGUAACCCCCAUCACAGAGCUCAGAGUCAUGGCAGUGCUCUCUCCUUGCAUUCAGCAUAGCUGCAACUGUUCGCAGUGUACAUAGCAGGGAGCAAGGCUGCACAACCUGCCUGCCCUGCCCUGUAUCUGCAUCCCCUGCAAAGACAAUACUUCUGCAAAGGGCACCGAACCCAUCCCCUGGCCCCACAAAGCAGAAGACUGGGUGUCCUCAUCACUCCUGCUAAUGCUCAGCAUGGGAAUGGCACUACUGCUGCUCUGCUGCAGCCCUGUGUCCUGCAGAAAGCCACAAAUGUCAGAGAAAGAUGAUGGAGUAUGAAUUCAAAGGUUAGUCUGUUUUUUCCCCUAAGCUGUAAAGGAGGGAAUCACUAUCUUCUGAGAUGGAUAGUACCAUUAAUCAGACACUGAAGGGAGUUCAGUCCCUUGUACAGUGCCAAAUUAUCCGGACUUUUAUCUUCACUGCCCUGUGCAGACAAAUCUGGGCAUGGGGAGGGGGGUGGGGACAGAGUUAUUAGGGGGAAAUUUUUGAAGCAUAAACAGAAUUUCAGCAAAAGGUUGUUCCUGCCAUGACAUGAUUAUAAAUGAGGUGAUCAACCACAAAGAACAUUGUUUUUCAUGGCUUUAGCUGUUCCAGUGGCACAAGUAAAAAAUUUAAAGGAAAAGGGAGGGAGUUCUUUUAAAAAUUCCAGAUAUUUUAAUUAAUGCCAAUAGCAUUAAAAUAUUAUGGCUUGAGAUGCUUAUGAAAAGUCUCUUUUAUUCAUUACAUUUCCUAGACCCAAUAUAAUUAGAAUUCUUAACAUUCAUGAUCUCUCAGCAUUGGCUUCCAAAAUUAAUGGUCUGAGUAAUUUUUUACAGCAGACGACCUGAGCUUAAAAAUAAAUGUAUUGCAGUAGUAAACAUCAGCUUUUUGUGAAGGCGGAGCACCAUUUAGCUACAGUUCCGAGGAGAAGAAUGCCCUCCAUUUUCUCUCAUCCAGAUUUCACUGUUCAAAGGACAUUUUGAAAGACUGGAAUUCCCUAUAUGUGUAGGAAAUCCCUCGGUGUCACACGUUCUUCCUGCAGGUUGCUUAUCUGUGUGUUGUGGAAGCUGAGUGGGCUGUGAUGAAUGCAGAGUCCUGGGUGAGGUGGCUGAAUGGAGUCCUGCAGACGUGGCUGCUGCCAGCUCUUGCUCCGUCAGCCUGCGACAGUCGUUUAACCCUGACGUUUUGCAUGGGGCUGCUAAAUGUGUGCUGUUCAUUUUGGUGUCUGCUUGCCAGAGCACGGAGAGCUCCUGCUGCUGGGAUGUGAACCCAGAAAAGCCACGCGGUGCUGGGGAUGGAAAGCUGCCGCUUCCCACCAGGCAUGGCAGGAUCACGCAGAUCAUCUGGCAGCCUCUGACAGUGAGCAUCGGGGUCCUGCAGCCCACUGCUGGUCCUGGACAGCCAGCAGGGCCGGUUGGUGCAAAUCACUCUACUUCCUCAUGUCUCAUCCUUUCUCCAGGUCUCUGUCUUUGCUGUGAUGGUCUCAACCCCCACCAUUAUUUCCCAAGACUCAGCCCCCUUCUCAUUCUUCAGCACUGGGCUUCCCACCUCUGCCCCACUGCCUGGCCCCACUAUCUUCACCCAGCCCAUCAGACUGUCCCUACCACUCCUUGUGGCUGCAGUUCCUCCCGGAACCUGGCCUGAGUCUCCCCUAUGCCAGCAUGGCUGAAUUAAUUUCCCUUGUGGUCUGAAAGCUGGAAUCCAAGUGGUCUUCAUGCCCACGGCACAGUGAUAGGGCCACAGGGAACAUCUUGUUCUGAUGCUCUAGCCAGGCAAUAAUACCUGGCAACCUAUAGUGUGUGAGGCUGUGCUGAGGGUAGUGCUGUGUGAGCAGCUCUGUUGGGGCUGGAAGGGACUGCCCUGUUUGGGGUGAGCUGCAGGGCAAGGCAAGUGCUGCAGGACAGGAUCUGCAGUGUUUUUUGGAUUUCCCACUGCAGAAAGUCUUUACUGAGGAAGUCGGGUUGGAUUUCUUUCAAGUGCUCUCACUUAGCCAUACUUUUACAUGGAUUUUCACAGCAGCAAUGAAAGGAACAUCCUUAAUACAAAGGUCACAAGUCGGCUAAAUUUCUGCUCCCCUAUCCAAAGCAUGAGGAGACGUGGUGCAUCUUAUAGAAGAGGAUGUCAGUUCUUUUUCUCUUUUACCAUUACAAAACAGCACAUUGUUCCCUGGCCUUGCCCUUGGGAAUAGCUAUAUUGUUUUGGCUGAAGCUUUCCAAAAAAAUUCAGCCUGAGGCAGAUGCCCAGAAUGGAAAAUGACAAGUUACUGGUCAAAAUAUGACAGUUAUAAGCAGCUGAAAGUAGGGUCUUGUAAUUGGGAAUGUCAGACGGUCUUGACAGUAGGCAGUGCUACCAGCCCACCGACCUCAGGAUUCGUGCGUAGGUGGAGCACUGUGUGUGCCUUCUUGAAGCCCUGGUAAUUUUAUAUGUGCUGUAAAAAGGGGCAGCAGACGUUGCUUUCCUGGGUGUUAAAGCAUGGCAAGCGCUGCCGCCAGCUUUGUCCUCUAUUCAGCUGGAGAC